AUUGAACGCUGGCGGCAGGCCUAACACAUGCAAGUCGAGCGAGCGGCGGACGGGAGAGUAAUGUAUGGGGACCGCCCGAUAGAGGGGGAUAACUACUGGAAACGGUAGCUAAUACCGCAUACGAUCGGAUAACCCAUAUGGGAUUAGCUAGUAGGUGAGGGAAUGGCUCACCUUGGCGACGAUCCCUAGCUGGUCUGAGAGGAUGAUCAGCCACGCUGGGACUGUGACACGGCCCAGAUUCGUACGGAGGCAGCAGUUGUGAAUAUUGCAAAAUGGGCGCAAGCCUGAUGCAGCAAUGCCGCGGGUAUGAAGAAGGCCCUAGGUUUGUAAAGUACUUUCAGUCGGGAGGCGUUACCGACAGAAGAAGCACCGGCUAACUCCGUGCCAGCAGCCGCGGUAAUAC
RNAcentral lists this ribosomal RNA (403 nucleotides) under uncultured bacterium. RNAcentral describes it as "partial 16S ribosomal RNA". It matches the Rfam family "Bacterial small subunit ribosomal RNA", at positions 30 to 526 of the family's 1533-position model. The record is from RNAcentral.